Molecule: long non-coding RNA, 805 nt
Filed under: Medicago truncatula (barrel medic)
Lineage: Eukaryota; Viridiplantae; Streptophyta; Magnoliopsida; Fabales; Fabaceae
Description: long non-coding RNA (MTRU_LNC001795)
Source: RNAcentral
UUAAUCGUAAAUGAAGAGUCAUUAUGUCAACAAAGAAAGCAAUCAGGAAUAGGUUUUAUUCUACCAAUGUCGCAAGUCCAUUUCAGAUUGAUAUGUACAACUUUCUGCACCAUAAAUGGGAAUUCACAGAUUGGAAACACAAAAAAGAUACAUAACAAACCUAGCAUAAGGCAAGGUAAGAACAAUCAGCAAAAUGAAUAGACAAAUUUCAGUGACAAAAUCAUGUUCCUAAGCCUCGAUUAAAGUUGAUCCUUGACAUGCAAUUAAGUCCUCCUAUAACCUAUUGACUAGGUGAUGAGAGUUCAAUAGGUUAUAGGAGGACUUAAUCCUUGACAUGCAAUUAAGUCCCCCUAUUAUUGACUAACUGCUCAAAGUUCAAUAAUUGCUGCCCUGUUCUUUUAAAUAAAAUUUAAUUUCUGCACAAGGUAAAAAGGACUUCUAGAUAGACAAACUUUAAAUCCAAAGGCUAUUGCAUGAGGAAGGUUAGAGGCAAGUUUUAUUAUCCAGCUUCCACCUAGCGACAAAAGCUUUUAGAAGAGUUGACUUUCCCAAACUAGAAAAAUAAUAUAAUAGAAUGUGGAAGACAAGAAACUACUGCAAUUUACAUUUACAAGUGCCCUUGCCAUCUUGUUUGUAUAUAUGCCAAGACCCUCCGUUUAAAAACCCACUGGCCAUUAGCAAAGCAACGUAAGGAAGCCGAGAAACGCAGUGUAUAUAAAUAAACUAAUGAGGCACAGACUGGCACAUAAAAGGGGAAGCAUUAAAUUAUUUUCAAUAGCAUAAACAACAAUAAAUUUCCAGAAAU